This is a long non-coding RNA of Salarias fasciatus (jewelled blenny), 835 nucleotides long. RefSeq lists it as uncharacterized. NCBI's taxonomy places the organism in Eukaryota, Metazoa, Chordata, Actinopteri, Blenniiformes, Blenniidae. The transcript has 3 exons. The record is from RefSeq and is a predicted model, not a curated record.
ACUUGUCAGUCGCAGCGUCUGUGUGAGAGGGAGAGGACACCGUGUCGUUGCUUUUACAAGUCCACGGAGACAGAAAGAGAAGAAGGGAGGGAGAGACACUUUCCAGCAUGAUCCUUUUAUAUAUUGUCCCCUUUCGUCGGAAAGGGAGCAAUCCGACGGAAUCACUGGGAAAUCCGCGGCUGGUUUUGAAAUCAUUGGAGGAUAUUGGCUGUGGAGGAGUGGAGUUAGCCUGAUGAUGUGCAAGAAAAUAUCAGCCCUGAAGUUUGCAUUAAGUCAGGAAGAAGACAAACUUCCAGCAGACAGGAUGACGAGCUCCCAUCAGCCUGCAGAUGGAAACAAGGGUGGGUGGUUGGAAGGCUGGAUAAAGGCUGGUGGAUGACUGAACUCGGAGACCUGGCGCAGCUCAUCAUCAUUGCCACGGGCUCUCGUCUUCCUCCUUCUCCUCCUGUGGCUCCUACCUCCAUCCAGGGGUCCAGCAGAGCCGGCGAAGCCCGGGCGGGGAGCUAGUGAGUGGGCCGGCAAAGAUGGAAAAGGCCCCCAAAGGCUAGAAUCACCUCUGGAGCUACCGGCAUGCAGGAGAAAUCAAUAUGAAACACAGAAGCUCCGCAGCUCUGAGUGGGGUUUCCUAUGUUUUAAGUGUGAGGCCUCGGGGCCCGCAGACCUCCAAAGGACAGGCCCUGCGUGGCUCUCUCAGCUGCAUCCCCGGAUCCUCAGACUGGACCUCCGUCCUGAUCUCCACCGGCUGUGUGUGUGGUUCUGCUGAAGGGGAUUUCUCCCCAAAUAAUACCCAGAGUGUUGAAAGACUGCCAAGAGGGAUCUUCUUUUCUCUUGAUUU